AUGAUCUGCUUUUGUCAUUUUUGGAAUACUAAAUACAUACAUGUUUCUGUUCCCGAUGCCUGGAUAGAUUUAUCUGCAGAGCUGACUGGAGAGGGAGGACGGACAGGUGGAGAAGGUGCUGUGGGGCUGACUGGAGAGGGAGGAUGGACAGGUGGAGAAGGUGCUGUGGGGCUGACUGGAGAGGGAGGAUGGACAGGUGGAGAAGGUGCUGUGGGGCUGACUGGAGAGGGAGGAUGGACAGGUGGAGAAGGUGCUGUGGGGCUGACUGGAGAGGGAGGAUGGACAGGUGGAGAAGGUGCUGUGGGGCUGACUGGAGAGGGAGGAUGGACAGGUGGAGAAGGUGCUGUGGAGCUGACUGGAGAGGGAGGAUGGACAUGAGAGGGAGAUUUGCAGCUGAUCAGAGUUGAGGGAUUCAGUGUAUAGGUUUUAUUUUCCAUUAAGAUUUUCCGGAGCUUGUGAGGGACUUUGGGGACAUCUUCACAGUGGGGUCUCAAAUGAUCUGUAUUAAUUUUGGGCAUUUUGACACCCCUCUCAUCUUGAAGAUCUGCACUUUUUCCCUCCAGUGCCACAAUAGUGUAAGGACCCAGGUAGUUAGCCUCCAGUUUUCCCCCUUUCCGCUGUUGGCUUCUCACGUUUUGCCUCCAUACUUUGUCCCCCACUACAAAGGGUUUGCUGGAUGGACACAACCUUUUUCUCAUUUUCUUUUGAGAGGCUUUAAUGUUUGCCUCAGCCUCACGCAAACCUUCACUAAUCCUCAACGCACACUCUGUGACUUGCUCCACAGUUACUGUGUCUUCCACGCUUUCGUGAAUCUAAAAAAAUUAUAUAUUUUUUAGUUUUUAUAAUAAUAUAUAUUUAUUUAAAGGGUUAGCUCCCCUGAAUAGAAAAUUUGAUCAGAUAUUAAUAGCAUAAUUUACUUAAAUUGGGAUUAAACCACUGGAGUAACAUGGGUUGUUUUUUAUUGUGUUUAUGGACAAUUUAAAGAAUGUUUCAUGUAAACAGACUUUCAAUUUCAAAUUCUCUCAGCUUUAGUAAAAAUAUAUUUAUUCUGUUUAAACUUAAAUGAGAAUGAGUAAAUAAUGACAGAAUUUCAUUGUGAGUGGAGGUAAACUAACCCUUUAAGUAGUUAACAUUGAAUUUGUUUUGAAUUUUCAGUUACCCUGUAUUGCUCCGGAACCUCACAAGCAUAACGGGCCUCUCUCCCAAACAUUAAAAAAAAAGGUGAGAACUUUGUUGUCAUUUGCUUUUUCGUCCUAAGUCCAAACAUCACCGCAUCAAGAUGCUUAUCCCAGUCUUUUGUGCGUUCCUUCACAAGCUUGCAAAGGGCUCUGUUGACAUAACAGCAUUGAUUGUGAUGUAUUAUUAACAUAUAGAGCAUAUACAUUACAACAUAUUGUGUGUACAGGUGUUCUUGUAGCCCAGACAGUUAUAUGUUCCUGCAUGUUGUUUUGUUUCCCCUUCUCCCUUGCAUAUAUGUCUAAUGGAUAACCAAUGAGUAGCUGUGCAUUAAAUGAUUAGAGCCAAAGAACUACUCAACAAGCAGUCAUUUGCCAGCAUUGACAAGUUAAGGCUAGUAAAGAUGUUUGCAGUGCAAUAUUUUACAGAAAGGGAAAAAAAAUAUGCUAUUUUUGUCAGUUAUGGCUCAUUGGAUCUAGCAUGUUUUCAUGAUCACUUUAAAUCAGAAACAGAGAUGAAGCAGUGUGGUGAGAUGUUAAGUACAUGCAGAACUGGUUAAUUAGUUUUUGCACAUGAUGGAAUGCAGAUGUUUUUAAACCUAUUUCUUGGGACCCACAGCUAUGCAUGUUUGUAUUUGAAUGUCUCUCUUAUUAACAAACCUGAUACAGAUAACCAGGUCAUUAGGCUCCCAAAUCAUAUCUGUGUCAGAUAUAAGAGAAAACAUGUGCAGUGGGUCCCCUGGACCAGGACUGAAAACUUUUUUUUUUUUUUUUUGUCAAUAUCGCCACAAAUAAUUCUCAGGGAGUGAUCUGAAUUACAAUGUUUUUUUGGGAAAACUUUGCCUGAAGCUAUCUGCCUAAUGUGAACAAAUUGAGUAGGAUAUAUAAAAAGGCACCUUUGAAUUGUCGCAUUCAUCCUUUCCACUAGCCCAUUCGUUUGAGGAUGGUAGGGUGUACAUAAGGAUCGCUUUAUAUUAAGCAUUGCGCACACGUCAAUUCAGCUAUAAUAAAAAAAAAAAAACUUGUUUAGUGACUUUUACA
This is a long non-coding RNA of Cyprinus carpio (common carp), 2216 nucleotides long. The record is from Ensembl. NCBI's taxonomy places the organism in Eukaryota, Metazoa, Chordata, Actinopteri, Cypriniformes, Cyprinidae.